UCGUUUACGGAGAGGGGGAUGGAGAGAGCGAGGAGAAAGGGAGCGGAGCGGGGGAAGAGAAGGCGAGGGAGUCGAGGGGAAAAGAAGAAGGCUCUGCACCGGGAGGUCCACCACGCUGUAGAAUCCUCUUGAUUUUUAAGGGCUGGUACUGGUGGAAGCGUCUUGUGUUGAAGGGGGUUGCCAAAGUGACAAUAGUAACAUUGAACCCUCGAAUAUGCUCGAAGAUCUCGAAAUGAUCUUCCAGUUCUGGGGAGAAUUCGCAAAACUCCGUUUCCAUCGAAAAUUCAGUCUUGUCACCCUUUAAUGACCCUUAUCCUCUCCAUGUUUCGCUUGUUAAUGAGUUUUUGAACUUGGCCCGAUAUAUUGUCAAUGUUUGUAAAAUAUGAUUUUUGUGAAGGAAUUUCAUACCUUUUAUUAGAUUAAGGGGUAUUUUCUUCUUCUGGUUGUGCCAUUCAGGAUAGAAUUUAAUUAUAACUCCUGUUGUUCUUGUUGUUGUUGCAGUCUUGCAAGAGUUUGAAGAUGGAGGCGUUUAGACUGUAUCAAUUGUAUGUUAUAGCAGGAAACAUUUCCUCAAUCGAUGUGGUAACACAUAUGCCCAUCUUAUAUGAGGAAGCUGAUAUUCCAUACAUAUUCCUUCAAAAGAGGUCUGUUGUACCCUGUUAGCGUUUUUUUGUUCCUUUUCAUUUCGGUAGCUGGGCAAAUGCAUUGGCCAUGUAUAUAUACCAUAGUAUCCAUAAGGAGGCCGGGUUCUAGGCCAUCAUCAACUCAUGGUUUUAAUUUAAAGAUUUAAUAUUCUUUCGCCCACUUAGAUUACCUGCCUGGGCCAUUCUUAGCAGUGUAUGGAACUUAAUAGUCCUAGUUGCUGCUUCAUUUCAAGAACUUACGGUCAGGUUAUCAAAAUAAUCUAUAGGUUCUUGCAUGGAUAUUGGCUGCUUUUUAGUUCCAAACCAACUAUUUUAAGCCCUUAGGAUGUAAAUAACUUAAUAUCAUAUCCUAUUUUUCAAGAUAUUAUUUUUAAUGAUGCAUUUA
Molecule: non-coding RNA, 1029 nt
Organism: Phoenix dactylifera (date palm)
Lineage: Eukaryota; Viridiplantae; Streptophyta; Magnoliopsida; Arecales; Arecaceae
Source: RefSeq, a predicted model, not a curated record